GAUGAACGCUGGCGGCGUGCCUAAUACAUGCAAGUCGAGCGAACAGACGAGGAGCUUGCUCCUCUGACGUUAGCGGCGGACGGGUGAGUAACACGUGGAUAACCUACCUAUAAGACUGGGAUAACUUCGGGAAACCGGAGCUAAUACCGGAUAAUAUAUUGAACCGCAUGGUUCAAUAGUGAAAGACGGUUUUGCUGUCACUUAUAGAUGGAUCCGCGCCGCAUUAGCUAGUUGGUAAGGUAACGGCUUACCAAGGCAACGAUGCGUAGCCGACCUGAGAGGGUGAUCGGCCGCACUGGAACGGAGACACGGACCAGACGCCUACGGGAGGGAGCAGUAGGGAAUGUUCCGCAAUGGGCGAAAGCCUGGCGGAGCAACGCCGCGUGAGUGAUGAAGGUCUUCGGAUCGUAAAACUCUGUUAUGAGGGAAGAACAAAUGUGUAAGUAACUAUGCACGUCUUGACGGUACCUAAUCAGAAAGCCACGGCUAACUACGUG
This 497-nucleotide ribosomal RNA is filed under the name uncultured bacterium. RNAcentral describes it as "partial 16S ribosomal RNA". It matches the Rfam family "Bacterial small subunit ribosomal RNA", at positions 28 to 507 of the family's 1533-position model. The record is from RNAcentral.